GACGAACGCUGGCGGCGUGCCUAAUACAUGCAAGUAGAACGCUGAAGGAGGAGCUUGCUUCUCUGGAUGAGUUGCGAACGGGUGAGUAACGCGUAGGUAACCUGCCUGGUAGCGGGGGAUAACUAUUGGAAACGAUAGCUAAUACCGCAUAAGAGUAGAUGUUGCAUGACAUUUGCUUAAAAGGUGCAAUUGCAUCACUACCAGAUGGACCUGCGUUGUAUUAGCUAGUUGGUGGGGUAACGGCUCACCAAGGCGACGAUACAUAGCCGACCUGAGAGGGGGAUCGGCCACACUGGGACUGAGACACGGCCCAGACGCCUACGGGAGGCAGCAGUAGGGAAUCGUCGGCAAUGGACGGAAGUCUGACCGAGCAACGCCGCGUGAGUGAAGAAGGUUUUCGGAUCGUAAAGCUCUGUUGUAAGAGAAGAACGAGUGUGAGAGUGGAAAGUUCACACUGUGACGGUAUCUUACCAGAAAGGGACGGCUAACUACGUG
This 495-nucleotide ribosomal RNA is filed under the name uncultured bacterium. RNAcentral describes it as "partial 16S ribosomal RNA". It matches the Rfam family "Bacterial small subunit ribosomal RNA", at positions 28 to 507 of the family's 1533-position model. The record is from RNAcentral.